RNAcentral lists this small RNA (28 nucleotides) under Bombyx mori (domestic silkworm). RNAcentral describes it as "ovarian small RNA-37257". Lineage: Eukaryota; Metazoa; Arthropoda; Insecta; Lepidoptera; Bombycidae. The record is from RNAcentral.
UUCCUAAUCGAUAUUGUGUCCUUAUCGG